This is a long non-coding RNA of Impatiens glandulifera, 1250 nucleotides long. RefSeq lists it as uncharacterized. The record is from RefSeq and is a predicted model, not a curated record. The transcript has 4 exons. NCBI's taxonomy places the organism in Eukaryota, Viridiplantae, Streptophyta, Magnoliopsida, Ericales, Balsaminaceae.
CGGACCUAAUCUUUGAUUUCUCUCUUUACAUUCUUCUUCUUAUCCUCUUCAAGACCUCUCUAACGGUAAAUCCCAUCAAUGGGUGGUGACCAAUCGAGGAGGCGCACCAGUGAUUCAAGGAUGAUUGCUAAACAAUCUCCCGCGGCGAGAAACGACGUCAAUGCUUAUAUUGCCUAUCUGUUGUCCGAUUAACUGGUUAGGGAAGGAGCUGACACCUCCUACACGCGGCCUGACCAGCCAAAAACCCCGUCCCGUGAUGUUAGUUUGGGUUUUAGAGAGCCUUCUCCACUGCUUGUGGAGCUGACCUCUCCUCCGUCCUAGUCAACCCGCUUGAUAUUGUCAAGACAAGAUUGCAAGUGCAAUCUGCCGGAGUUCCAUAUUCACAUCCUCUUAGUAAUGUUAUCAACCGAAUGGCAUUCUUCGGUCCAAACAUGGUAUGGGUGCCUUUUAAUGUUUCUCAGUAUUUCUGAGUUAUGAAUUACAACAAUUGUAGUGCCAAACUUUAACUUAGAACUAUUAAGAUAUUUUUGGUAUAAUUAAUUGUUUUUGAGUUUACCUUUUUAGAUGUUUGCAGAUCUAAGGUGUUCUCCUUCGUGCACAAUUGUUGGCAUUCAAGGCACCGUUUCAAUUUGCCCCUGAUUGUUUUCAUUACAAAGGAGCUCUAGAUGUUUUCUAUAAGAUUAUACGUCAAGAAGGUGUUACAAGACUAUGGAGAGGAACCAAUGCUGGUGGGAAUCUAUCUUCCAUUUUAUGAUAUUUUCCGCAACAAGUUGUAGGAAUUCACUGCACACAAUUUCCCAAUUUUGACACCAUAUGCCUCUCUAGUUGCUGGUGCUCUGUCACGCUCAUUAGCUUGCACUACUUGUUACCCCCAUUGAGCUUGCUAGAACUCGCAUGCAGGUUUGUGUUCUUUGCUUCUCACUAAUGGUUUUCAUUUUGUGCAACCAAGCCUUUAGUUAGUAGGGUAAUGCAAUGAAGCCUUUAGUUAGUAGGGUUAUGUAAUUAAGCCUUUAGUUAGUAGCCUAGUAUUGCUAUGCAUUGAAGCAUUUAGUCAGGAGUUAUGCUCCUAGAAAAAACAUUUUGCUAUGUUUUUGUUAAAUAGGGAUGUAUUUCUUUCUACCAGGAUUGACCUUGCUCUCUUUAGCUGCCUCAAUAAUAAAAGUUACCAAGGAGCAAAUUUGUAAUCUUUUUAUGAUUCAUCUGACAAACAAGUCUCUAGAAACGUUUCAAACUUUCAAUAUACAAAAAAU